AAAAACCUGAUCACUCUCUCUCCUCUCACGCAGAACCAUCUCUCUCUCUCCUCUGUUCAGGCCAGCCACGACCUUCGUGGCUUCCGAUGAAGAUUCCAGCCGCCUACGGCCACGAUUUUGGAUCUCUUCUCUUCGUCUCUCUCUCCUCUACACAUCUAUACCAAAUUGCAGCCCCAAAUCUAAGGAAAUUAAAGCCAAAAUCCAAGCCAAAGUGAGCCCAAAAAUGGGCUAUUUCAAACAGUAAAUUUCGGGGUAUUUUUCGGUCAUCUCUGGCCGCCAAAGGUCAGGUUUUCAAGAGACAGAAAGCUUCGUUCGAGGGCUUUAGAGGUGGAAUUGAUCGUCGAGCCAAGGCACUCGGACACCAGUUGACCCACAAGAGGGACCUUCCAAAGGUCCAGCGAGCUCGGACCAACUCCACCUUAGGUACCCAUAUAUACAGAUGUUGCCUUCGGAUAUGAUGAUGUCCACGAACAUCCAGGUUGCCUUCGGAUUUUAUCAGUUGCCUUCGGUUUAGUCAGCAUGCUUGACAGUUGCCCCACAAGUUCUAUGGUACCCGGACUCGUGUGGAGCGAGGACGCGGAUCAGGUUGACCAAGGUCCCCUGAAUCCUACGAGGUUGCGGCUCGGAUUGACUUUGUGUCACUGAGACCUGCGAGGACGUGUCACCAAUGGUGAUGGGAGAGGAAUUGACGGAUAUCAGGAAUUGAUGGUUAUCAGGAAUUGACGGACUAUCAGGAAUUGACAGAUAUCAGGAAUUGACGGAAAUAAAGGGGUACACUUAGGCUGUAGACGUGCAUCCGAGAGCCACCACAGGGCAGUUCCCGCUUCCCGCUCUCCCUCAGUUUGAUGUAGGGAUUCUUGGUUAACAAGUUGUUUCCUUCCUUGUAAAUUAAUCUGUUUGGUUGCUCUAAUGUUGCUCUAGAACUUGUUUUACUGUUGGAACGUACUUAUUUUUGUAUACUGGCAGUUGGUGUAUAUAUUUAAGUGCUUGUUGACAGGUGUAAAUUUUUGGGAAUGUUCGAUUUACAGGGAAGACUCUGCCGAAUUUUCGGUAGAAGUCAAGACUUAAGGG
Non-coding RNA from Prunus mume (Japanese apricot), 1071 nucleotides. The record is from RefSeq and is a predicted model, not a curated record. Lineage: Eukaryota; Viridiplantae; Streptophyta; Magnoliopsida; Rosales; Rosaceae.